UCUCCUCUACCUGUUUGCCUGUUGCACGCACGGCAAGGUUAUGAAAAUAAAGUUUGUAGUGAGUUUAUUUUGUAAGCUUUGUUGAUGGAACACUGAAGGAUGUUGUAGGACUGUUCAUAACCAGUUUGUAUUUCAUUUGUCAUUUUUUUGAGCUUUCUCUGUUUCUUUCUUGUUUUUAUUAGUGAAAGAAAAAAAAAAUUAUUAUCAUUCAGAGAAUGCAGUCAUGGGAAUACAAAUGAAGCGAAUUUUAGUUUCAUCAUCGAUGUGUUUUUGGCAAAGAAUUUCGAAGAUGUGUGAAUUUGUUGAAUCCGUGAAUUACGCUUCGAUUAAUUUGGUUUGGUCUAGCUCAAAUCAUAGCAUAUUAGGACCAAAUAGGCUAAAGUGUGAGUAUAUUUUUCAGUACAACUGGUAAGUAAUUAAGAGCAAAUAUAGAGUCUUUCUCUUUGCUCUCAUCUCUAUGAUAACAGAUUAAGUUCUUGAUGGCAACUAAGAUAUAUAGAUCAUGUAUUACAAUUUCUCAAAAGAUUUCUGUGAAUUUAAUCUCUGAUGUUUCUAAGUUAGAGACUUUGUUGAUUAAUUUACAAUGGAAAUCAGAUAGAUACUCAUAAUGCAGUGCUAACACCGUUUUUUUUUUUCAAAAAAAAAAGAGUUUCUGAAUUUUAGACGACAAGAAAAGUCAUAAAACUCUUAUCCGAAGAUGAAACCUCCCUACCUGUCUGCCUUGGCCAUGUGGGGGGCUUGUUUGCAGAAACAUGAUAAGCUUAUGUGUUUCUUCCUCACACAUGCGACUGUCUGAUUGAUAGCUGAAAGAAGAAAGAUCACAAAGAGACAUCAUAUACUAAUAUACCACUUUAUUUAUCAGCCAAGAGUUUUGGUCUCAGACGUAUUUUUGAUCUUUGUUUGUUUUUGAAUACAUCAACUUCUCCUUGUCUCUUUUACCACAACUUUCUGCGGCUGCAUUUGCGCAUUGCAAGUACAUUUUCUGAAGAAAAAAAAUUGGUUUUUUUUUUCCUUUUGUUUAAGUAAACGCAAACGCACAAAACUGUGUUUUAAACAAUCAAAAUCUUCAUAAUCAGCCGGAUAACAUGUGGCCGGAUCAGGUUUAAAGUUUGAAAAUUGUAUAGCGAUUAUUUUGAACCGGUUUUUAGAUCCUAUAGCAGAUAAGAGAGAAUGAAGAUUCCGGAAGAAAUUUGAAGAUUCAG
RNAcentral lists this long non-coding RNA (1202 nucleotides) under Eutrema salsugineum. RNAcentral describes it as "long non-coding RNA (ESAL_LNC001400)". The record is from RNAcentral. Lineage: Eukaryota; Viridiplantae; Streptophyta; Magnoliopsida; Brassicales; Brassicaceae.